GACGAACGCUGGCGGCGUGCCUAAUACAUGCAAGUAGAACGCUGAAGGAGGAGCUUGCUUCUCUGGAUGAGUUGCGAACGGGUGAGUAACGCGUAGGUAACCUGCCUGGUAGCGGGGGAUAACUAUUGGAAACGAUAGCUAAUACCGCAUAAGAGUAGAUGUUGCAUGACAUUUGCUUAAAAGGUGCAAUUGCAUCACUACCAGAUGGACCUGCGUUGUAUUAGCUAGUUGGUGGGGUAACGGCUCACCAAGGCGACGAUACAUAGCCGACCUGAGAGGGUGAUCGGCCACACUGGGACUGAGACACGGCCCAGACUCCUACGGGAGGCAGCAGUAGGGAAUCUUCGGCAAUGGACGGAAGUCUGACCGAGCAACGCCGCGUGAGUGAAGAAGGUUUUCGGAUCGUAAAGCUCUGUUGUAAGAGAAGAACGAGUGUGAGAGUGGAAAGUUCACACUGUGACGGUAUCUUACCAGA
This 475-nucleotide ribosomal RNA is filed under the name Streptococcus mitis. RNAcentral's name for it is "bacterial SSU rRNA". It matches the Rfam family "Bacterial small subunit ribosomal RNA", at positions 28 to 487 of the family's 1533-position model. The record is from RNAcentral. Lineage: Bacteria; Bacillati; Bacillota; Bacilli; Lactobacillales; Streptococcaceae.